Molecule: long non-coding RNA, 960 nt
Organism: Folsomia candida
Lineage: Eukaryota; Metazoa; Arthropoda; Collembola; Entomobryomorpha; Isotomidae
Exons: 2
Source: RefSeq, a predicted model, not a curated record
ACAAUAAUUCAGAUGUCCCAAGCAACCUCAAUGCGAAUUUACUGCGAAUUCCAAUGCAAGUUUAUGCAAUUUUUGUGCAUAAAAAGUUGUAAUCAUUAAUUUGUACAAGAUUCGUGCAAAAUGUGUAUCAAUUUUUGUGCUACUAAUAAAUUAGCACAAGAAAUCCACUAAACUAUCACAACUUAAUAAGUAGCAAAUUAUUACAAAGGAACAAGUGAAUAUUUAGUGCGUAUUUGUUAGCACUAAAUUUUCAUGAGAUUUCUUGCACCAAAUUCAUGCAUAAUUCGUACGUGGGAAAUUGUACAAAAUCAAAAUGCAGUAAACAGGUGCCAGUAUAUUUACACGAAAUUCGUACCGAUUAUUCUGUAAUCAUUUACUACUAAAUUAGUAACAUUUCUCUAUUGGCGAUUAAAUAAACCCACCUCAAGUCAGUUAUUCUUUUUGCCAUGCCGUGACAUCAACUCCAUCAUUUCUUCUCCAUUUUUAAUUUCCAACGAAAAAAUUUAUUUAGAUAGAUACUUAGGGUCGAUCUUAUGUCGGACAAAAGUUCGUAUUCAUCAAGUUUGAAGUCGACAAAGGGCCAAGAUUGUGCCGUCUACGUGGAUUUCAAAAGAUUGGACGACUAAUGGCGUGUUAUAUGCCGGAAAAUACGAUUCAUACGUUGAGAACACAUAUGUAUAAGGAAUAAACCUAUCGACUCAUGUCGACAAACGGCCAGCCUAAAUUAUCAGCAGAAGAGCCUGAGGUGAAUAAGGAAAUAUUGUCCAGGAAUUCAUUUUAAUUUAGUCUUUCUCUAUACUCCGUAAGUACGAAUUCUGCAGAUUAAUUACGAUAAAUAUUUGUGUAUCCCAAUUUGCAAUUAUCUUUUAAUAAGUUAAGUAUUUGGAGAUAACAUUAUUGUAGAAAUACAGUAGAUGAAUUUGUAAUAAAUAAAUAAUAAUUGAACUAUGAGUAAUACGU